RNAcentral lists this unclassified non-coding RNA (335 nucleotides) under soil metagenome. RNAcentral describes it as "partial contains 5.8S ribosomal RNA, internal transcribed spacer 2, and large subunit ribosomal RNA". The stretch from base 1 to 120 matches the Rfam family "5.8S ribosomal RNA", at positions 35 to 154 of the family's 154-position model. The record is from RNAcentral.
GAUGAAGAACGUAGCGAAAUGCGAUGAGUAGUGUGAAUUGCAGAAUUCAGUGAAUCAUCGAAACUUUGAACGCACAUUGCGCCCCUUGGUAUUCCAUGGGGCAUGCCUGUUCGAGCGUCAUCUACACCCUCAAGCUCUGCUUGGUGUUGGGCGUCUGUCCCGCCUCUGCGCGCGGACUCGCCCCAAAUUCAUUGGCAGCGGUCCUUGCCUCCUCUCGCGCAGCACAUUGCGCUUCUCGUGGUGCGCGGCCCGCGUCCACGAAGCAACAUUACCGUCUUUGACCUCGGAUCAGGUAGGGAUACCCGCUGAACUUAAGCAUAUCAAUAAGCGGAGGA